GACGAACGCUGGCGGCGUGCUUAACACAUGCAAGUCGAGCGGUAAGGCCUUUCGGGGUACACGAGCGGCGAACGGGUGAGUAACACGUGGGUGACCUGCCCUCAGCUCUGGGAUAAGCCUGGGAAACCGGGUCUAAUACCGGAUAUGACUCCAUGACGCAUGUUGUGGGGUGGAAAGCCUUGUGCGGCUGAGGAUGGGCCCGCGGCCUAUCAGCUUGUUGGUGGGGUGAUGGCCACCAAGGCGACGACGGGUAGCCGGCCUGAGAGGGCGACCGGCCACACUGGGACUGAGACACGGCCCAGACUCCUACGGGAGGCAGCAGUAGGGAAUCUUGCGCAAUGGGCGAAAGCCUGACGCAGCGACGCCGCGUGA
This 372-nucleotide ribosomal RNA is filed under the name uncultured bacterium. Its description in RNAcentral is "bacterial SSU rRNA". It matches the Rfam family "Bacterial small subunit ribosomal RNA", at positions 28 to 404 of the family's 1533-position model. The record is from RNAcentral.